CGUGCAGGCGGUUCGGUAAGUUGGGCGUGAAAUCUCCCGGCUCAACUGGGAGAGGUCGUUCAAUACUACCGGACUUGAGAGCAGUAGAGGAAGAUGGAAUUCCCGGUGUAGUGGUGAAAUGCGUAGAUAUCGGGAGGAACACCAGUGGCGAAGGCGAUCUUCUGGACUGUUUCUGACGCUCAGACGCGAAAGCUAGGGUAGUAAACGGGAUUAGAGACCCCGGUAAUCCUAGCUGUAAACGAUGUGAACUUGGCGUCGGUGGCUUAAACACCAUCGGUGCCGUAGCUAACGCGAUAAGUUCACCGCCUGGGGACUACGAUCGCAAGAUUAAA
This 332-nucleotide ribosomal RNA is filed under the name uncultured bacterium. RNAcentral's name for it is "bacterial SSU rRNA". It matches the Rfam family "Bacterial small subunit ribosomal RNA", at positions 568 to 898 of the family's 1533-position model. The record is from RNAcentral.